AAAAUUUUCUAAAAAACAACAGCAAAACAUAUCAAAACCCUAGCUUCCAGUUUCAGACCAGUGGUUUCCAACUCUUCGACCACCAUCGUUCCCCCGCCCCCCGGUUGCCUCUCUCACCUUUGUCAGAUUAUACAAUGAAGUCCCUAAAUACGACAAAGGAAGAAUAAUAGGAGUCCGUGACCGAGUCAAUGAGAUCUUCUUCGGGUUUGUAGAAACUACGGUCAGAAGAUGGCUGUUGAAUAUUUAGAGCUCUUAAUGCUGCAAAAUUAGAUAAGCUAGAUUUGCAUGAUGAACACCACCUUGAUAACCUUGUGGUCUAGAACAGGUAACCUUAUGAGUCUAGAGUAGGUGAUGGCUUCAAUAAUGUAAUGGGGAAAUUGAAACUUGUAUUGAAUUUUCUGCAGCUAACCUUGUGCAGUGACUUCCCUUGACCAAUUGUACAGUUCUAGUAUGAAGUUUCUCCAGGAGCUGGCCCAAAUGCACACCAGGACUCUUCUACUAGUUGUACAGUUCUGGGAUGAGCUUUGUAAAAAGAAGCACCCAAAUGUGGCAUAGUCUUAGAGGGCUAAUAUGAUCCGCAUGCACCUGCAAAAUAUAUAUGUGCCACAACAAGCCUCGACUCCCAGCUAAUGGGACAUGAGAAAGCACACGGCUUCGCCCAUCAAUGUUGUGGAGUGGUGUUAGGCCUUCUAGAUCUGGUUUACACAAUUCCAAAGCUGUCACCACAUGUACACUAAUUCUUGGCAUGCUUACAAGUGUUGUAUUAGGUUUAUAUUUUGCUCUACGUUCUGGUUCUUCAACAUCCCUCCAUCUUAUUCGAGAACAGGUGAACGAUUACCAUUUCUAGAAUCGGAGGAACUAGAAUCGGGCAAAGGCAAGAAAGAAGUGGAAGCAAAACAUGUGAGUUAUUCGUACACGUUUUUCCAUAUGAUAUUUGCAAUAGCAAGCAUGUAUUCGGACAUGCUUUUAUUGGGAUGGAGCAGUUCAGAAUGCUUGGAUCUCAUUGAUACCGGGUGGUUGGUCAUUGAUUGAAUUGUUCACAAUUUGCAUCUGGUGGCUACUCGUUGAUUUUGCAACCAAAUCAUGGAGCAUUCCACAAAGGCAAAACAACUGGAUAUAUAUUUGCAGCACUUUUAAGUCUACAAGCAGUGAGUAUAUGGAUUUGAAGACAAUGACCAAGAAUUAGUUCUUAGUUUAUGUGUAGAGGCAUUCCCUUUGCAACUUUUAUAGUUAGGUUUUGAGAAGUUUGUCU
This 1252-nucleotide long non-coding RNA is filed under the name Helianthus annuus (common sunflower). The record is from RNAcentral. Lineage: Eukaryota; Viridiplantae; Streptophyta; Magnoliopsida; Asterales; Asteraceae.